Passer domesticus (house sparrow) is the source of this 7020-nucleotide long non-coding RNA. RefSeq lists it as uncharacterized. Lineage: Eukaryota; Metazoa; Chordata; Aves; Passeriformes; Passeridae. The transcript has 11 exons. The record is from RefSeq and is a predicted model, not a curated record.
AACCUUUUUCAUCUGUGAAAGGGCAGAUGCUGUCCCUGGGAGCAAAACUGCUACUGCAUCAGUACAGUUCUAGAAAGUGAAUUGAUCCAGCAAUACUUGUCUUACUUCCAUAUGAGAGGACAAUUUUAAAAGUCAAAGGCAUCUUCUUUAAUGCCCACCUAUUUAUCAGAGUGGUUUCAGCCAGGGCAGUUCCUAUGCAGAUCUGCUUUCAGAGACAGCCUCACACCCUCUUCACCAUCCAGGAAAAAGCUCUGAGUGAGGAUGAACUGCAGAUAAGGAUUUCACAGUUGGCUGGUUUAUCUCAGUCAGGCUAUGAUGCCUGUCCACCUGAUGGAUUGCCAGAAACCUGCCAUCAGUCAAGAGAGGAGAACAGCAAAAAUGAGGAGGCGGUGACAAAGCCUGGGACUUGUUGGAGGCACCAUUUCUGUGUGGUUCUGCUGGAUGGAAGACCUUAAGAACUAAGGAAUCCCCAAAACACCGCCUGGGCUUGAGGAUGAUGGAGGCAGACUGACACUGCAGUGGAAGAUUCCCAUUGACCUGUGUGUUGACAAUAGAACUGAGAGUCCAGGCGUGUGUGUGGUGCUGACAGGCAAAUGUAUUAAUAAGACAGAAAUGAAUGCAGUGACAGAGCUACAGGAGGCUUCACAAGCUUCAGUUGGUCUUGAAGCCUCAGUUCCUGGAACCCUGUGAUUAUGCCAGGCUCGCUCCUUGCUUUAGUUGAAAAAAGUGCAGGCCAGGGCACAGUUCGCUCUGUGUUGUGCUCUGCCAGCUCCUUCAGCUUUGUGUCCAGCUGUCAUCCCCAGGGCUUCUCCACCCAGGACUGCCUGUGCUCUGAGGGCUCACAGCUUCUGCGUGGUGUGAAACCUGGUUCCCUCCUCUUACCUCUCCACUGGGCACGGGGCUUGCAGCCACACCAGGAGCCCUCUGCCUGCUCGGUCUCAGCUCAGCAGCUCUCGGCAGCAAGAACCACCCAUGGUCAAGCCCUGUCCUGUGGGAAUCACUGCCAGAGUCAGAGAGGUGAGGGAGAGCGUGCCAGCAAAGAUUCCUGCGAGGAAACAAAGCUGGUGCUUGUCGUGCAGGCAAGGUGCUGGGCCUGAGCUGAUCUGUGAGUGUGCUGACAGAUGGCCUGACUUGAAAUACUCUCUCCAAAUUCCAUUAAGCCCCGGGAAGGCAGCGGGCAGCUCACAGCCGUGAGGAAGACAUCAUCUAGAAGAACACCUUAUUCUCAGGUGUAGAUCUUCUCUUGACCAGACCAUACUCAGAUUUGGCAAUAGUGGUCCCGUGAGGCUGGAGUGUUGGCAGGUCAAAUCCUGAUCACCCUGAGCACCUGUGUUAUUCUGGGGUCCUAGGACCGGCUCCUCUCAUUUUCACUGCUGCAAGGGAAGGACUGGGCACUUCAUUUGCAGUCCAAAUGCAGAGCCUUGGCAGUCUUCCAGAGCUGAGAUUUUGCCCAUGUGGGUUUCCUGUGCUUGAUUAAAUCACAAUAUUUCCUCUGGCUCUGAAGCCAGAAAUCACCAUUAGCUCUUCAAGACUGGCCACCUGCAUAGUCCAAGAUCAGGGACUCCCUUCCAAUGGCUUCCGCUUUGUGCCUGAAAGCUUCUGGUGGAGCUGUGAUUUCCUUGUCAGAAGACAACUCAUCUUUGUAUAGAUGUUACUUGUGAUGGCAAACACUUAUGCUGUGGUUGUCUUUCCAGGUGUUUUAAGCAUCCCUUAAUGUUAAGAGUCUGCUCCCCCAGUGUGCUUGGUGAGUCUUGUUUGGCAUUACUUCUCUUUCAUGGUCUUUUAUUGCUUGUGGGCACUUUGUUAUGACACCUAGCAGCUGUCUUCUUCACAGAGUUUGGAUCCUUCCUAGUCCCCAUGGACGCAGAUGGUUGGUUGAUGAUGUGCCCUGAGCUCACCAUUCUGCCCACAUCUCACUGAAGAUAUUUAGAAAAGAAAAUAAUCCUCAGUGGAUAGCAAGAUGUGUCUGCAUUCAUUUCGUUCAUUCAUUCUGUUUUCAUAGCACAAAAUUGAGAGCGUGUGGUUUGUAGAACACUGUGAGGAAGUACAGCCUGUUGGGACAGUGUCAGAGGAGCACACAGGUCCCAGAGCCUGAAGUGACCUUGCCCAUAGAGGUGUUGGGAGUGGUCACUGGUGGGUGCUGUCCUUUGAACCACGUCAUUGGGAACGCCGCAGUUGGAAUGGGCCAAAAUCACACCUGUAGUGUAAGAAUGGUUGGGUUGUUUGCAUGAUGGGGUCUCUGGAGUUUAUCUUUCUCCCUGACUCUGUUUUGUAUAAAACUCUAGACACCACAUUAGAAGUGGGGGUAAAAUUUAGCCCAUGGGAUGGAUUAUCCCUUGGCUCUUUACUACCAGGCUUCACCCAACUUUGUCUUAAGCACUUGGCGGUGGCAGUGCUCUGAAGGAGGUCUCUCAGCAGAUGGAGCUGGGGGCUGAGCAAAAUUGAAAAUCCAUAUGUUUUUGACUUGGCCCUACCCAGAAAUGUGAAAAAUUGCCAGGGCUGUGCAUCAACUGUGUUUUUUCCAGCUAAAAUUCUCUCUGUGUUCUCUCUGAAAGGACUGCGUGUCCUUUCAGAGAUGCAUAAAACUUUCCUGAAAGUGCCAUAACAACUGGGACAUCAGGCAAAGGACAGGACCUGCCUGUCUGGUAGCUCACAGCUGUCACACAUGGCUGUGUUGGUUUUGAUGUAAGGCUUGUUGAGCACAGAUAUGAGGACAAGCAGAGCCAGACCAUAUCUCUAUUGUAUUUGGCUGCCAAAGUGCUUUCAGCCCAUCUGAGGGUAAAAGAAGGACCCUAGUUUUCUCACUGCCUGUGAGUUACUGUAUGAGUGACUAGGAAAUUCUUAGCUCUGUCUGACAAAAUGUCCUGAGCUAGAGAGGAAAAAACUGGCAUGGUUCUGGCCUGCCCCUUUGUAGGUUGUUACUUGGUUCCUCACUGUGGUUUUCCUUCCUCUACAGUUUUCUGCACUAAUUUUGUAAUAACAGUUAGCGCUGGAUUUCAUAACACAGACAUACAACAUGCAAUUAGAAAUUGCUUUGUGUGAAAUAAAGUAGCUGUGAGUCAUAUCCAGACAAGUGAAUUAUCUGUGAUUAUUCAGCCAAGAAGGGAGAGAGUGGUAAGCAGAGGAAUGCACAGCAAGGGCUACACAGUAUUAUUAACAUUUCCAUACUAUUAGGAAGCGUAAGGAAGAAAGCAGUAUUAUAUACUAUGGCAGGGUUUUUUGGGAUGUCUGUGUAUAAACAUCCAUGGGAUCAUGUCCUCAUGGGGAGGAACAGGUGAUUUUCUUCUGAUCCUAAGAGUUGUGCAUCCAAAGGAUGAGCCAGUGACAUUGCGAGGUCUUUCCCUGUCUCUAAAAAGAAAAAAAAGGGGGUAGGGGAAGAUACGUAUAUAUCUUUUAGAAUUCUAAAUUUAUGUGAAGCAAAUCUUGUAUAUGAGGACACAGCCUAAUGGAGAACUAAGAUUUCUUCAAAGGGAGAUGGAAAAAAUAAAUUACCAGCACAGCUCUUGUUUGAUGUAUCUAUUGGAUUGGCUUCUUUUUGUCCUCUGGGAAUGAAAGGUCAUAUUAUGAAGGGGCUUUGGCUGUGCCGAAACAGCUGGGAAACCUUUUGGAGGGAGGGGUUGCUGGCUUUGUGAAACAAGGUGGCUUUUGCAGUGCUCUCCCAGUGUGUUAUUUAUUGCCAGGUAGGCAGCUUAGGAGCUGGGUCUGCAGUCCGGGGCGCAGGCAGGGGGCAGUUUGCAUUUCCUGAGUGUCAGGGAAUCAGCCAGUGAGAGAGACAGUGACAGCAGGGGACAGUGUGGGCAGGGAGCGUGCCAGCUGCUGGCUCUGCACAGUUGCACACUUGUCGUGGGAAGGGUGAUCCCUUUUGGAGGUGUGCCUUGAAACUGGAGGUCCUUCUGCAAGGUGAGAGGUACCAGGAAGAGACUGACAGCACUUGCUAAAGAGCAUCUUUACAGUCCUUUGGGCAUUGCUCCGACUGCCCAAAGAAGUUUGUUUUCCAUCCAUUGCAGAGAAUCAGUUGACCCUUCCCCAGCCAGUCACAAAUGCCUCCAUCUGUAAAAUGACAGUGAGAUAUGCUUAAUCUUCCAAGAUGAAUCUAACAGAUGCUUCUCCCAGGAAAUGAACUAAAGGUUGCAGCUUUGCUUGAGCGAUUGUGAGUCAGGGCCUACAAAAGCAGCCGAGCAUCCUGCUUUAGGAAGCCGCUGGAGCGUGGUCUGUAGGAAGAGCUCCUAUCCUUUACCAGGCUGACAGAUACACCAGGGAGGGGCCAGACAGGCUUGCCAGCACACAAGUCCAUUCCCAGGUCAGGCAUGAAGAUGCUUCUUCCAAGCAGAGGAGAUCCCUGCCCUCUCCCCACACUGACUGAGAAAGCUGUAGCUCAUCCCUGGGACCAUUUCACAUUUGUCAUUCUGACAGCCAGAGAGCUGCAUCAUGUUUGGAUCCUCUCAUAGCCACACGGUUGUGCAUGUCCCUGACCUGAGCAAGCAUGUUAUCUUUUGCACCAGCUACUCACAAACUGACUUUCACCUGUGGAUUUGUGCCUGGCACAGCCAAGGUUUCAAAAUCAUCAGGAGAAUGACGGGCCAAAAUGUGACCAAGAUUGAGAAGUUUGCCCUUGUACCCCUGUGCCAUGGCGCAGAUAAGAAAUGCCAACUUUUUGAGGGCCAUAAAUCUGCAUAGCCAGAAUGAAGGAAUAGCAUAGAGGAGAGUCUGUUUGGGCUCAAGAAUCUCUUCCAAAAGUGUUCUUGAUUUGAAGAGCUAAAGCAUUUACUGUGUCCCUUGAAAGUCAUUUUAUCUACGUCAGUUACCUUGACUGGAAAAACACAAGCAAAGAAAGAGCACACCCUUCUUAAAGCAAUAGGUAUCACUCAAUAAAGGGCACAUUUUUUAUCCUUCCUCAGGUCUGAAACAGAAGCAGCAGACUUGAAGGUUACACCCAAGCUGCUCAGUAUUGCAUUAGGUGUGUACUAGUGAGGUCACCUCUGCAGGAAAAGGUGUCUGAUACCUGUGAUAGAGAGGAGAGAAGAGAGAAGUGGAAGGGGAUGUCUCAGAAGGGAGGGAGAUCAGUGUCUCCUGAUGAGGAGGGUUGUAAUGGCUGCAGCUUUCCCUGCCUGGAAGUGAAAAGCACCUUCAGGCCAGGCCUGCAGGGAUAACAUGUUAGCCCGCUCUGUUUUCUCCUCCAGACCUUGCUGUCACAUACAGGCUUUGACAAAACAGAAGCAAGGCAGGCUAGAAAACUUCCUCAGAAAUAGAAAAGUCAAGAAGUGUUCUACUCAGAAAAAGGCUUCCCAAGGCUGGUGACGUACUUCAAGAUAGUGAGUGAUCGACCUCAACAGCAGAAGGGAAAAAAACAACAAAACUAUCUGUUCUUCCCUCUGGCAGGCUCCAGUGCCUUGGGAGACGGCUCUGCUGACUCAUUCAGAAAGCAGUUUUCAAAACACGACUCCUUCUCUUGUAUCUAGACAGCUCUUUUCCCAGAGAACAGCAGCCCACCUGCCCCAGUCAGCAAAGGCAGGCUGGGAAACCUGCCCUCCUCCUGCUCUUGACUGGCCUCUGGCACCCUCCACUCCUUGGCCUGCACUUCAUUCUCAAAAGCCCAAUUCCAUAAAAAGCUGGGGUCUGAUGUUUGGAAGUUGCUCUGAUGUGAUGUUCAUCUCCUGUGCUCUAGGGUAGCAAGCCAUGAAAACCAGUAAAUAAAUAGCUAUUAAAAUACAAGGAACAUUAAACAAAAGACAUUGCUGGUUCCAUUUUUCUUCUGUUAAACAACUGGUUUCUUCUAUAUGAAGACAGGAGCCUGGUGCAAGAUAACUGCCUGCUUUAAACACAUAAAUUCUCUCCCAGGAGAUGGGUCUGUGCUGGUCCCUCUGCAGGCUCUGUAUAUUCAGAUGUUCUUGUGCUGCUGUGGGAGGCAGGGUGCUGACAGCAUGGCAUGUUGGAUGGCCCUUUUAGUCUGAACAAAUCAGGAAUCCUUUAUCUAGUUCCUAGCCAGAGGACAUCACUAUGUCUAUUUUGUAGGUGCUAAGGAGUUUUUUCGGCUUGUGGGCAGAUCAGGGAAAGCUACUGGGUCAAUCAGAGUAUCAAGAUGGCUGCGUAGGAGGACAACCCAAACAGGGCCACAUUUCCUCAGAGAUCUCUCUUUGAUACCAGAACUCUUUCCACAGAGAACUUUUAGUGCUGGCAUGAUUGCAUCCUUCCCCCAAGCUGUGGUUGUGGUGGCUGUGUGGGGAAAAAGUAGAAUUUUAUUCACAUAGCUCGUGGCAGGGCUCAGUCGGUCCUGAAGAAGUGAUCUGUGCUGGAGAAAGGAGCAACUCCUCAAGGUUUUCCCCACAAAUUGCCAUGACUUUGAUCCAGCUGGAAUCCAGCUAGCAUCAGUAGCAUAAUUCUCUGAGCAACAUCACAGUGGUGAAACUGAUAGGAAAUAGGAGAGCUUCCUGUGGGAGCUGCUUGGUGGCAGCCUGGGUGAAAGAGAGGAUGCACAGUAGUUGCCUCAUCUGAGUGGCAUAAGCAGGCUCUUGUGAGCGGAUGUGCAAAGCAUUUUAUCCCUAGUCUGCUUCCCAGGAAGUCAAUUAUUCUUCCCCACUUUGCAGGGGGCAGGCAGCACAUGCAGUUUCUGUAGACAAACAAGGGGCUGGUGAGCAAAGAGGACCUGGGGCCUGGGCAUCUGUUUUACAGGAGAUUGGAUCAGAUCUGAGGGCUGGGACUGGCUCAUCUGCCUUCCUGGCUGGUGACAGCUGACAGCUGUGGAAGACAGAGGGAGAGGGAGGCUUGAUGUGAAAAGAAAGGGAGCUAGAAUUGCAAAAACACACUGAUGAUGGUUUUGCUCGGAGAAUUCCAAUUCCAAAUCUACAUGUGAUGAAUUAAAACCUGAAAUGGUGUUUAGCAAACGCUGCUUGCCAGGCCAAAUUAGCAGCCUCAUUUGUUGCCAGUGGCAGCUCUUUAAAACUCUUAAAGAUGGGCUCCUUUUAAAAUGUGGCAUAAAUAGGAUGUUUUCUCAACAGUAGCAUUUCCUCGCUUGAGCAUCGC